Molecule: non-coding RNA, 197 nt
Filed under: Oscillospiraceae bacterium
Lineage: Bacteria; Bacillati; Bacillota; Clostridia; Eubacteriales; Oscillospiraceae
Description: 6S RNA
Rfam family: 6S / SsrS RNA
About the family: E. coli 6S RNA was the first non coding RNA to be sequenced, but its function was unknown until recently. It consists of 184 nucleotides that fold into an extended hairpin structure with a large single-stranded internal bulge.
Source: RNAcentral
CUUGUCCUGCGCUGUUCGCGGACCGCGUCUUAUAUAACCCUACAACAUUAUAAUUAGGGGCCAAAGCUAAUACGGCGGAUUGCAGACCUCCCGCGGCUGUGCCGAGUUCGGAAGAAGGGAGCGUGAAGCCGUGCGGCCGGCACCCACCUGCUUUAACGCAGGUUAUUUUAAGCGCAUUACGGCAGGGCGGGACAGCU